Molecule: ribosomal RNA, 425 nt
Filed under: uncultured bacterium
Lineage: Bacteria
Description: bacterial SSU rRNA
Rfam family: Bacterial small subunit ribosomal RNA
Source: RNAcentral
UGGGGAAUUUUGCACAAUGGGCGAAAGCCUGAUGCAGCAACGCCGCGUGUGUGAUGAAGGUCUUCGGAUUGUAAAGCACUUUCGACCGGGACGAAACACCCUUGGCUAACAUCCAAGGGCCUGACGGUACCGGGAGAAGAAGCACCGGCUAACUCUGUGCCAGCAGCCGCGGUAAUACAGAGGGUGCAAGCGUUGUUCGGAAUUAUUGGGCGUAAAGCGCGGGUAGGCGGCUUGGCAAGUCGGGUGUGAAAUCCCUCAGCUUAACUGAGGAAGUGCGCCCGAAACUGCCGAGCUUGAGUACCGGAGAGGGUGGCGGAAUUCCCCAAGUAGAGGUGAAAUUCGUAGAUAUGGGGAGGAACACCGGUGGCGAAGGCGGCCACCUGGACGGAUACUGACGCUGAGACGCGAAAGCGUGGGGAGCAAAC